AACGAUGUCGAUUUGGAGUUUGGGGGCAUGACCCUUGGGCUCCGGAGCUAACGCGUUAAAUCGACCGCUGGGGAGUACGGCCGCAAGGUUAAAACUCAAAUGAAUUGACGGGGGCCCGCACAGCGGUGGAGCAUGUGGUUUAAUUCGAUGCAACGCGAAGAACCUUACCUGGUCUUGACAUCCAUAGAAUCUUUCAGAGAUGAGAGAGUGCCUUCGGGAGCUAUGAGACAGGUGCUGCAUGGCUGUCGUCAGCUCGUGUUGUGAAAUGUUGGGUUAAGUCCCGCAACGAGCGCAACCCCUAUCCUUUGUUGCCAGCACGUAAUGGUGGGAACUCAAAGGAGACUGCCGUUGAUAAAGCGGAGGAAGGUGGGGACGACGUCAAGUCAUCAUGGCCCUUACGACCAGGGCUACACACGUGCUACAAUGGCGUAUACAAAGGGAUGCGAAGGUGCGAACUGGAGCGGACCUCACAAAGUACGUCUAAGUCCGGAUUGGAGUCUGCAACUCGACUCCAUGAAGUCGGAAUCGCUAGUAAUCGUGAAUCAGAAUGUCACGGUGAAUACGUUCCCGGGCCUUGUACACACCGCCCGUCACACCAUGGGAGUGGGUUGCACCAGAAGUAGAUAGCUUAACCUUCGGGAGGGCGUUUACCACGGUGUGGUUCAUGACUGGGGUGAAGUCGUAACAAGGUAACCA
RNAcentral lists this ribosomal RNA (696 nucleotides) under uncultured Enterobacteriaceae bacterium. RNAcentral's name for it is "bacterial SSU rRNA". It matches the Rfam family "Bacterial small subunit ribosomal RNA", at positions 805 to 1502 of the family's 1533-position model. Lineage: Bacteria; Pseudomonadati; Pseudomonadota; Gammaproteobacteria; Enterobacterales; Enterobacteriaceae. The record is from RNAcentral.